AAUCAACGCUGGCGGCGUGCCUAACACAUGCAAGUCGAACGCGAAAGCCCCGCAAGGGGCAAGUAGAGUGGCAAACGGGUGAGUAACACGUGGGUGACCUGCCUUAGAGUGGGGGAUAACGUCCCGAAAGGGACGCUAAUACCGCAUAACAUCCUGCCUUUGAAGAGGUGGAGAUCAAAGCCGGGGACCGCAAGGCCUGGCGCUCAAAGAGGGGCCCGCGCCUGAUUAGCUAGUUGGUGAGGAAUGGCUCACCAAGGCAACGAUCAGUAUCCGGCCUGAGAGGGCGGACGGACACACUGGGACUGAGACACGGCCCAGACUCCUACGGGAGGCAGCAGUGGGGAAUUGUUCGCAAUGGGCGCAAGCCUGACGACGCAACGCCGCGUGGAGGAUGAAGACCU
RNAcentral lists this ribosomal RNA (401 nucleotides) under uncultured bacterium. RNAcentral describes it as "bacterial SSU rRNA". It matches the Rfam family "Bacterial small subunit ribosomal RNA", at positions 29 to 417 of the family's 1533-position model. The record is from RNAcentral.